This 194-nucleotide ribosomal RNA is filed under the name uncultured soil bacterium. RNAcentral's name for it is "partial 16S ribosomal RNA". It matches the Rfam family "Bacterial small subunit ribosomal RNA", at positions 26 to 252 of the family's 1533-position model. The record is from RNAcentral.
AGAACGAACGCUGGCGGCAUGCCUAAUACAUGCAAGUCGAACGAACACUUCAGUGUUAGUGGCGCACGGGUGCGUAACGCGUGGGAAUCUGCCCUUGGGUUCGGAAUAACAGUUGGAAACGACUGCUAAUACCGGAUGAUGACGAAAGUCCAAAGAUUUAUCGCCCAGGGAUAGACGCCGACGUAGGUAUUACG